RNAcentral lists this ribosomal RNA (356 nucleotides) under uncultured prokaryote. RNAcentral describes it as "bacterial SSU rRNA". It matches the Rfam family "Bacterial small subunit ribosomal RNA", at positions 8 to 352 of the family's 1533-position model. The record is from RNAcentral.
AGAGUUUGAUCCUGGCUCAGAUUGAACGCUGGCGGCAUGCCUAACACAUGCAAGCCGAACGUGAAAGUCCCGCAAGGGAUGAGUAAAGUGGCGAACGGGUGAGUAAUACAUAGGUAAUCUACUUAUAAGUUUGGAAUAACAAUUCGAAAGGAUUGCUAAAUACCGAAUAAUAUACUUUAUCAUAUGGCAAAGUAUCAAAGGUGGCCUCUUCACAAUGCUAUCACUUAUAAAUGAGCCUAUGGACCAUUAGUUAGUUGGCAGGGUAAUAGCCUACCAAGACAAGAUGGUUAGCUGGUCUGAGAGGAUGACCAGCCACACUGGAACUGAAACACGGUCCAGACUCCUACGGAGGCGAC